This is a transfer RNA of Hebeloma cylindrosporum, 104 nucleotides long. It matches the Rfam family "tRNA". From Rfam's summary of the family: Transfer RNA (tRNA) molecules are approximately 80 nucleotides in length. Their secondary structure includes four short double-helical elements and three loops (D, anti-codon, and T loops). The record is from Rfam. NCBI's taxonomy places the organism in Eukaryota, Fungi, Basidiomycota, Agaricomycetes, Agaricales, Hymenogastraceae.
GGUGAGAUGGCCGAGCGGUCUAAGGCGCCAGACUAAGGACCAGGACAGUUACUGUCCAACAUAUCUGGUCCUCCGGGGCGUGGGUUCGAAUCCCACUCUCAUCA